UACACGCCUUGUAGUUGUCCAGCUUCGAAACUGAAGAAAGAGCCUGGAGACAGAGGCGUCAGUAGUUUAUUUGACAGGGGAUCAUACACAAAGGGUCCUGGAACCACACCUUGCCAAACAGAUGCUUGCAGGACAUUGCAACAGUCUUUACUACCCAAGGGAGAAGGCGACCGUUUGCAGGAGGGAAUUGGCAUCAGGUGGGCUCAUCAGUUACCAGGGACUAAUUAAGCCCUCUAAUUAAGAGGAUUGGAUAGUCAUGUGAGUGAAGCAGGGACCAGAUAUACAGCAGCAGAUAUACAGAGAAAGACUAGCCACCGUGAGCGGCCUAACCACACAAGGCUAUGCACACACUUGCUCCCAGGCUUGGGAGCUCUUAGAAGGCAAAGCCCUACAUGUUGGUCUCUUCUCUGUGGAUGUUAAUCUGAAUCCAAUCUGCCUCCUCAAGGCCCAGAUAGGAAGGAGACACAGGCCCAGAGAGGUGACAUCUCCGGCCUGAGUUCGCACAGAAGUCACUAAAGGGGCCAGAGCUGGAUCCUUGGGUCACCUGGGUCCCUGAACCGUGCUCUGUCCUGCCAUCUCCCCCUGUCAGGGCUUCUGGCCCUGUGGCUCUAUCAUCCGUUAAUCAGUGGUGAUACCCGGGUCCAGCUCCUCCCUCACACCAGGACAGGCAAGGACACUGGGCAAGUCUGUCCACCAGAGGCAGGAGGGGCUGUGACAUGUCAAUGGGCCCCUCCUCCAAGGCAAAGUACCCACUGAUGCUCAGUAAGGGUUACCCGAUGGUGGCU
Bos taurus (domestic cattle) is the source of this 785-nucleotide long non-coding RNA. The record is from Ensembl. Lineage: Eukaryota; Metazoa; Chordata; Mammalia; Artiodactyla; Bovidae.